UGAAUGUGGAAGUUGAUGCCUUGAGUAGAAAAAGGCAACCCAUCCUAAAAUUUUCUUGAAGGCCACAAGUUCUUCUUUGUCUUGGAACAAAAUAGCAUUGUCUCCAACCUCUCUCGGUUUCCUCUCAUUGUUCUUGUUCUUCUCCUUGGGACUUUCAUUUCUCCAAGUUUCAAUCAAUCAGUUUGUAAUUUUCCUUUAAUUUCUCUGUUCUUAUUUUGAUUUCGACCUCAAUUUUUCUAGGGUUUUAAAUUGUAGCUUGUGGUGUGUUACAUUCCAACCUAAAGAGUUCUUCCUCGUUUGUUCAAAAAAAUCAACUUUCUCUUCUUUAUUAUCUACUAGUGUAAGUAUUUUUUUGCUUUCUUUCUGUUUAUUGAAUCUUUGAGUUUCUACAUUUUUGGGAAUUGGAAUUUUUUUUUGUUAUGUUUCUUUCUUUAUUGAAUCUUUUUUUUCUUUUUAUUUGUUAUGUUACUAAGGCUACUGGAAAAGUUUCUGAAAGUAGGUUGUCCAUGAAAAAUGCUAUUGUUUCAGCAGACAGCUAAAAUUCAUCUGAUUUAGUGAAUAAACUGGAGGCACAAAGUAAAGGAUUAUGGAAGCUAAAAGAUGAUCUGAAAAAGUUCUAGCGGUUUCGCGUGUAAUGGUUGUCUGGCAACCCAUUGGCAUGACAAUGAGGGUUUAUGAUAUGUGUCACAGAAGAGAGAACAAUUUGGAGCACCAUUAGCAGCUUUUCAACUUAACCAACAAAAACUUGUUCUCAUGCUGGGAAAUAUUUCAAGCAACAUUCCUCAUUGGUUGGAGACUUUGCAAAUUAUAUGAAAAGGGAACAAUGAUUACUUCAGGCCAAGCUAGCUUGGGAAAGGCAUGGAUCACUCUGAGAGCUAGAGAAACCCAAUAAGAUGUGAGUUGCUUGGAGGCAAUGAGAUUUUAUCAGACUUUCUAGUUGCAAAGGUUUGCAAAUUUACUCAUUUCUUCAUUUACAACAUAUAUUGAUGGAACAUAGUUUCUGAUUGAAAUGUGAGUUUUAAAGGGUUAAAUGUUUUGUCCAUGAAAAACAAUUUUUCUAAGAACAUUCAUAAAACAAGGGAGGCUUAGAAACCAAGUUUAUAAACAUUACUAAUUUGGAGCAUUAGAGAAUAACUGUUUUUGCUUUUUAAAAUUAAGCUUAUAAACAUUACUUCUAUAAAUAAUUUCUAUAAAUAAUUUCCUUGUUUUUUUAUCCACUUCCUAUCAAUAAUUUUAACAAAUCUUUCUAAAAUUUGGUCAAAAGAUUGAAAAUAAUAAUAAUAAAUAAAAAACUAGAAAUGUCAAUUUUCUGAAGCUUUGUGAUUUAUUUGUUUGGUAUAUUUGUCAGACAUUCUUUGAUUUGUUCAUACGUACAACAUCAAAAUAUUGGUAACUAUGGGAGAGAAAUAACUGGUGUUGCCAGUUUCAACACAUUACCCUGCCUAUUUAUGUUAUACUAGCCCGCCUUUUGACUUGGCCAACGGUCUUUGUUGAGUGAGUUGCAAAUACUAUAAAUCUUCAACCCUUUUUCUUAAUUUUUUUUUUCAAUUAUAACAAUGAAUUUGGGGUAGAUAUCACUCUUCAACCCUAUUUAUGUUAUACUUUUUAUAUCACCAUUUUGUAUACUUUGAUGUCCUCUCCAAUUCUUUUCCUAUGUUUUUCUUUUCAAAGUUCCUUAACACAAACUUUAUGUAGGUUGGAUUUUAUGAUCGGUAUCUGCAGAUGUUUUGCAGAUGUUUUUCUUAUAUAUUCCCCUAUCUUAGUUAUAAAUAGGUCAAGUUUCUUGAAACUAAUGAUGCACUUAAAUAGGAAGUGAAUUUUUGUUUUCAGGUUCAUAUGUAAGAUUGAUAGAGAGGGAAAAGGGGAAUUUUAGUUGUAAAGAAAUUUUCUUCUCCUAAUAUUUUUUUUUUUCUCUAAGCUUCUUGAACAGAACUAGUCAUAUGAUUUUUCAUGAUUAUAAUUUUGUUGCUUUAUUUAAUGGUACAUGAAAGAAGAUGUGGAAGAAUCAAGGUGUCAUUCUUUAUCAUUAUUCUUUAUGUCAAUCUGAUUUUUAUUCUGUUAGCAAGAGAAGAUUACCAAAUGGACCUAAUCCAAUAAUCCAUAACAGGUACUCAAUAAUGCCUCUUCUAAUUUACUACAUUUACAUAUGUUUAUCUAAUUUUUCCUUUUCUCCUGCUCAUUGAAAGUAUUGUCUUUGACCUUUUUCUAAGUGUCUCUUUUUCUUUCUUUUAAUUUUUAAUCCACUAAAGUUGGUUGGUGGGUUUUACGAUUUCUCUACAAUUCUGCAAAUUUGUAUCAUCUUGAGGAAAAAACUUAGACCAUAUAAUCUUCUCCUCAAAAAAGGAAAAUUAACACGAAGACCUUGACUGCCCAAACUUCAAUUAGACGAAAGAUAAAUGGACUGAGAAUUCAUUAAUAGCUGUAUUCUUGGCCUAUACUUUUUACUUUACACGGAUAGAGGAUAACAUGAGAUAUACACCAUUGACUCAUAUUCAAGCUUCAAUGAAAGCUAUCUUCAACGAAACUAAGCUUGACAUCCCUUAAUGAGGAGGAGGGAUUUGGUCUAGUAGCUGAUUGCCGUCCUACUUCUAUCAAGGUUUUGAUGAAGUUGACCAAUGACAAUCAUGUUGGCUGUCAACAAAUUGCUUCAUGUAGAGGACUAGAAACUAUGAGUUCACUGAUUGCCAACCAUUUCUACUCCCAAAAUUGAUUCGUUUUGAAACUCAAAUUCGAGACUCAA
This is a long non-coding RNA of Cucumis sativus (cucumber), 2740 nucleotides long. RefSeq lists it as uncharacterized. NCBI's taxonomy places the organism in Eukaryota, Viridiplantae, Streptophyta, Magnoliopsida, Cucurbitales, Cucurbitaceae. The transcript is spliced from 6 exons. The record is from RefSeq and is a predicted model, not a curated record.